RNAcentral lists this transfer RNA (76 nucleotides) under Candidatus Amesiibacteriota bacterium. RNAcentral's name for it is "Candidatus Amesbacteria bacterium (sediment metagenome) tRNA-Asp". It matches the Rfam family "tRNA". Rfam says of the family: Transfer RNA (tRNA) molecules are approximately 80 nucleotides in length. Their secondary structure includes four short double-helical elements and three loops (D, anti-codon, and T loops). Lineage: Bacteria; Candidatus Amesiibacteriota. The record is from RNAcentral.
GGACUCGUAGUGUAGCAGUUAACACAUCCGCCUGUCACGCGGAAGAUCGCCGGUGCGAAUCCGGUCGGGUCCGCAA